Molecule: RNA transcript, 3351 nt
Organism: Clarias gariepinus (North African catfish)
Lineage: Eukaryota; Metazoa; Chordata; Actinopteri; Siluriformes; Clariidae
Gene: deaf1
Gene name: DEAF1 transcription factor
Exons: 13
Source: RefSeq, a predicted model, not a curated record
CUAGUGUACAAAUCUUUAUGAUGUAACUGGCUUAUCUUCUAAAAUAACUUUUAAACAUGACUAUAUCCAUCAAUCUAGAAACCUUUGUAGUCCAAAUGUCGACCAUCUGUGGAUGCCAAUGGUAGUGACAUUGUAUUUAUUCCUAUUUUUAUGAUUUUUAUGAUGCACACUUAUACUUCCAUAUUUAUAUUUUUAUUUUUGGAUCAUUGCAAAGGUCACUAUAAUAAGACACUUUUCAUGCAUAUUUGCCCACCCCCAGUCAUUUUUCGUAUUUUUUUUAUUUAUUUACACUAAAUUUUUAUAUUUUGCUAUAUUGUACAGAAUGUCCUUAUUUGUAUAGAAUAUUUUUAUUUUUCCUAGUUAAAUGUAUUUAUAUUUAUUUCUUAUCUAAAAGCUCUUAUUUCUUGAGGUCAUGGGCGGUCGUAUAAAUAUCGUACUGUGUAUGUGACAAAUAAAAUUUGAAUUUGAUUUGAAUUUUUACAAGCACACGUGUGCAGUCAGACACUAUGGGCAAUUUGGAAAUGCCAGUUAGCCUAAUCUACAUGCCUUUGGACUGUGGGAGGAAACUUGUGUACCCAGAGGAAACCCACCAAGCACAGGGAGAACAUACAAACUCAAACCUGGAAAGGCCACAGUGCUAAUUGCUAUACCACAGUGCAUAUAUAUAAACACGUGUAUAUACAUACGUAUUAUGUGUGUAAAAUAAAUAAAUAAUAUACAGUACAUCUUUCUCUCUCUCUCUCUCACACACACACACACUUUCUUCACACUGGGCUGUAAACAGAUGCUCGGCCUGUUCGACGUUACUCGCGUCACUUCGUGUUUUUUCGUGCAUUUCCGCCGCGUCUCCUUCCUGUCCUGACGAGCGUCCCGUAUAAAGAAAGUUGGCAGCCAUUUCCCUUUAUUUAUCCUUUUCAGUCGUGUCAAAGCAUUGACCUGAGUAGGUGAGCGGAGUGUAGCGUGUAGUGUGGCAUCACGGAGCUGCUCAUUGUGUUGCAGUAGUGCAGUGCGCGAGGCGGAGCCGGCGGCCGAGUUGGGCCCGAGUCUUCGGCUGUGUUCGGCUACAGUCGGGCGCCGCUGUGCUGAAUGAGAUGGACGCAAGCGAGGCGGCGGUGAAACGGCUCGGGUUAGCCGCAGCGGAGGAGGAGAAGGCCGGGGGACUAGAGGAAGUAGAGGAGGAGGAGGAGGAGGACGAAGAGGAGGAGGAGGAGGAGGAGGAGGGGGAGCGCUCCGAAAGCGAGCCGGACGAAGCCGAAGUGAGCACGAUGCCUGGCAUGGCGGAAGCAGCCAACAUCGCCAUAGCCGAGUCCCUGCCGAACACUGACGAGGCCGAAGCGCCGUAUGCGGAGGUCACAACUGUUACAGUCGGAGAUGUCCAGACUACAGAUGACAACGUCUUCUCAACAUCCGUUGCCACGGCAGCUUCCAUCCCUGAACAUGUGCUUACCGGUAGAACCACUUUGCAAAUUGGGGACAGUCUAAGCACUCAGAAGGCAACUCUAAUUGUUGUGCACACGGAUGGGAGUAUAGUGGACGCCACCGGCUUAAAAGCCACAACGACACCCAUGACGCCAGGGUCUCAGACUCCCUCCACACCACUGACUCCGAGCCAUGAGAAAGAUUUGAACAAGUAUAACUGGGAUCCUUCUGUGUAUGACAACGAGCUGCCCGUGCGCUGCAGGAACACCAGUGGUGUCCUCUACAAGAACAGAUUAGGAUCAGGUGGCAAAGGACGGUGCAUUAAAUACAACAAUAGCUGGUACACACCAACCGAGUUUGAAGGGUUGGCUGGAAGAGCCAGCAGUAAGGACUGGAAGAGGAGCAUUCGUUAUGCUGGGAGACCCUUGCAAUGCCUUAUACAGGAGCACAUCCUUAACCCCCAUGCUGCCUCAUGUACAUGUGUGGCCUGCUGUGAUGAUCUAGCUGUGAACAAGGAUGGAUCAUUCGGAGGUGAAAGCAUAUCUAUGACUGGACCUGUGCGACUCUUUGUCCCUUACAAAAGGAGGAAGAAAGAAAGUGAGCGUCCAACAACUCCAGAGAAAAAGGACGCACCGCCAACCAAGAACCUUACUCUAGCACCUGGGGCAGCAUUCACAGUGACCCCAUCAGGUCAGCUCACCACUGCUGGCACCUUAACCUUUGAUCGAACGGCAACUGGAGACGCGACGACCCUCAUUUCCGACUGCCCUGCCACUUCAGAUGUCUUCAGCAGCACAGCAGUGCUGACCACAUUGCCGGCUCUGACUGUCAUCCCUCAGCAGCCGAUACUACAGGCUAAAGCUCCCGCUGCAGCUGGGGUGUCUAACGGCUUGGAGAUGAGCGAGCAGCGCACCUGGCUGUACCUAGAAGAGAUGGCCAACACGCUACACAACACCGUCCAGCAGCUCAAAGCAUUUAUCGCCCAGGCCAAACAGGCCAGUCUAACCAACCUGGAGAAAAGCAACUGCAGCGGGAAGGAUUCUUUUUCCAGUGAACUGUCGCUUACUGAUGACACAGAGGGGAAGAUUACUGAAAUUAUCAUCAAGGCAACAUACCUGUGUGAACUGUGGACGUGAGGCAUCUAACGAAUGCGCAGGCUGUCACAAAGUGUAUUACUGUUCUAACUUCUGCCAGAAAAAAGACUGGAAGGAUCACCAGCACAGUUGCUCUCAGCCCAGUGUAACUGUGGGAGUUCAUGAUGAGGCUCACAUAGCCAGCAUGGAGGUAGAGAAAGUAAAGGCCUAGCCCUGAUACAGAUGGACAUGUGCUGUCGCCUUGGAAUAAGCCCACCUUUACCUUCUGUAAGGUGGAAAUACACUAUACGGCCAAAAGUAUGUGGACCAUCAUGCUUAUAUGUGGUUCUUCCACAAACUGCUUCCACAAGUUUGUAAGCGCACAGCAGUGUGUGCGAUGUAUGCUUCCAGUUUUCCCUUCAUUGGAUCCAAAGGUCCAAACCUGUUCCAGCAGUGAAGACAUAGUUUGCCAAGGUUUGUGUGAAAGAAUGUGAGUAUCCUGCACAGAACCCAGACCUCAAUCCCUUUGAGAUGAACUGGAACACAUGUGUUUGUCAACAAACCUUUGUCAAUAUAAUGCAGCACACAUUUUUUCAAAGACCUGGCUGGAGAAGUAAAAUGCCAGAGACUGAAAUGAAACAUCUAUGCAAGACGAGUUAAAAAUGAUAGAGCUGGUCUUGUAGACCAUGGCACAUUUUCUGCAUUUCUGAUCAGUCUUUAAGGCAUGAUGUAACACACACACAACUGUGAUUAAAUAUAUUGAAGUAGUUAAUGAAGAGACAUGAUGAUGAUGAAUAUGUGACCUUGUUUAUAUCAUGCAUAUUUGAUAGCAUUUAAAUUAAAUGUAUAAUAUGUGAAA